AUUGAACGCUGGCGGCAGGCCUAACACAUGCAAGUCGAGCGGAUGAAGGGAGCUUGCUCCUGGAUUCAGCGGCGGACGGGUGAGUAAUGCCUAGGAAUCUGCCUGGUAGUGGGGGAUAACGUCCGGAAACGGGCGCUAAUACCGCAUACGUCCUGAGGGAGAAAGUGGGGGAUCUUCGGACCUCACGCUCUCAGAUGAGCCUAGGUCGGAUUAGCUAGUUGGUGGGGUAAAGGCCUACCAAGGCGACGAUCCGUAACUGGUCUGAGAGGAUGGUAAGUGACACUGGAACUGAGACACGGUCCAGACUCCUACGGGAGGCAGCAGUGGGGAAUAUUGGACAAUGGGCGAAAGCCUGAUCCAGCCAGGCCGCGUGUGUGAAGAAGGUCUUCGGAUUGUAAAGCACUUUAAGUUGGGAGGAAGGGCAGUAAGUUAAUACCUUGCUGUUUUGACGUUACCAACAGAAUAAGCACCGGCUAACUUCGUG
RNAcentral lists this ribosomal RNA (484 nucleotides) under uncultured bacterium. RNAcentral's name for it is "partial 16S ribosomal RNA". It matches the Rfam family "Bacterial small subunit ribosomal RNA", at positions 30 to 507 of the family's 1533-position model. The record is from RNAcentral.